AGCCUCCUGCCAGAGGGGAGGGGGGUGAACAGUUUGUGUCCAGGGUGGGAGGGGUCAGCCACUAUCUUCCCUGCCCGCCUCAGGGUCCUGGAGGCAUGCAGGUCGUGCAGGGAUGGCAGAUUGCAGCCGAUCACCUUCUCUGCAGAGCGGAUGACACGCUUUAGCCUGCCCUUAUCCUUGGCUGUGGCUGCGGCGCACCAGAUGGUGAUGGAGGAGGUGAGCUAGUUAAGGAUCUAAAGUCCUCUGACGUUGCAAUCCAGCAAAAAGCAAUAGAGACAGCUGAUGGAUACAUUGCUGAGUUGGACGAGCCCUGCAGGACAACAGUCAACAAGACUACAAUCAACACAAACACACCAGGUCAGCCUUCCUUGGGCCUGCAGAAUAGAAGUCCAGGUGAGCGGGUUAUAUGUUUGUCCCUUGCAUUGAAUUUAAACAAUGUUUAAGCUCACGUUU
Notothenia coriiceps (black rockcod) is the source of this 453-nucleotide RNA transcript. It is a transcript of the gene named tetratricopeptide repeat protein 12-like, with no coding region annotated. The transcript is spliced from 3 exons. The record is from RefSeq and is a predicted model, not a curated record. Lineage: Eukaryota; Metazoa; Chordata; Actinopteri; Perciformes; Nototheniidae.